CCAAACUUGGUCAUUUAGAGGAAGUAAAAGUCGUAACAAGGUCUCCGUAGGUGAACCUGCGGAGGGAUCAUUACCGAGUGAGGGCCUUCGGGUCCGACCUCCAACCCUUUGUGAACCAACUCUGUUGCUUCGGGGGCGACCCUGCCGUUCGCGGCGGCGGCGCCCCCGGAGGCCCAAUCAAAACACUGCGUAACUUUGCGUCGGAGUCUCGAUAAAUAAAUCAAAACUUUCAACAACGGAUCUCUUGGUUCUGGCAUCGAUGAAGAACGCAGC
Molecule: unclassified non-coding RNA, 273 nt
Filed under: uncultured fungus
Lineage: Eukaryota; Fungi
Description: partial contains small subunit ribosomal RNA, internal transcribed spacer 1, and 5.8S ribosomal RNA
Rfam family: Eukaryotic small subunit ribosomal RNA (bases 1-73)
Source: RNAcentral